Molecule: long non-coding RNA, 2269 nt
Filed under: Phoenix dactylifera (date palm)
Lineage: Eukaryota; Viridiplantae; Streptophyta; Magnoliopsida; Arecales; Arecaceae
Description: long non-coding RNA (PDAC_LNC001144)
Source: RNAcentral
AUUGGAUAUAAACAGUUCCCACCAAUGCAAAACCCUGCAAAAUUGCAACAGCAUCAGCAACUCAAGUCUCCCAAAACCAUGCAUCCCAAAUAUUUUUAGUUUAACCACAUAUUUGGACACUAAAAGUCAGAUCACUGAUUUAAAAAAGAUUAUUGAGAAUAUAAAGAUCGGUGACGAUGACAAUACUUAAAAAGAAAUGCAAGUUAAAAAGAACCAAGAAAGAAAGAAUCAAAACCCCCCUUAACAAGAAGUGUCUUCGAUGAAACUUCUUGCAAGACAUGCAACAGUAACAGUACUAAUCAACACCAUGCUCCUAUCAGAAUGUCUACCAGCGGAAAAAAAUAAGCAAGUUGGCAAAAUCUAAAUCGCUGAUGGGAGCUCGAUGCCCCCUCCACAGAUAUCAUGUCCACCAACCACCAUCAAUCUGAGAUGCCAAGUCUUGUCACCAAUUAACCCAUCAAACAUGCACAAAAUCAAUAAGUUACUUUAAAAGAAAAAGAAUCAAGAACACCAUCAAACAGAACCGCAAUAGUAAUAGAAAGUGAUACUUGACAUCUAUUAUUCCUAAUAAAACUUAAAAAAAUGCCAAUCAACAAAAAGACAAGAACCCCUCUUUAACACAUCUCCUGAUAUUCAGCAACUUAUAACCUUUUUAAAUCACGUAUUCAGUCUUCGAACCCACAAGACUGCAAUAAUAUCAGGAUUUAUAACCAACACUUACACUGAAUAGAAUGUCACCAAGAAAAAGAGCUCAUAAACACAAUCUAAAUCAUGAUCAACUCACAAUUACGCCCGUUAUAAAGAGCAUGCCAAUUAAACUUUCAUCAAUCUAGAAUAACAGGUCAACACACUGAUUAACAAAAUGCAUACAACAUGUCUAAGAUUCAUAAAUAUCAUGUCCACUAAACUCCAAACCCCAGAACAUAUCACUGAUUAACAGACUAAUAUGAGAAUACAAAAUUUACAAUGAAGAGAGAGAGAGGGGGGGUGCGGGGGAGCGGGGCAGGAGUUUCACCACCAGUGCAAGACCAUGAAAAGCUGUAACAGCAGAAAUGAUGAUUAACAUCCAUUCUGUGACAACCAAGAUUAAGGGGGAAAAAGAUUAUCAAUACAAUCAAUAAUACCACCAAAGGUGAGCAACUGCCUCUAUACAAAUUCUCUCUCCCAAACAAUGGCAAUCUAUCACCUUAAUUCCGAUGACAUUUUAGUUUCAAAUCUGAUCCUAAAUGACAAUUGAGACGAUAAAAGUCAGCAAAUGGAGACAACCAAACGUAUGGAAAACAAGAGAUAAAAAUAACCUCAGAUCCCCAACGAAAAAGUGCCUCCAAGAAACGUGCCUGCAACAGUGCAAUAAUAAUACAGAAAGCAACGAGCAUCCAUCCUAAACAAAAUGUUCAUACAAAAAAUGCUGAUUUACACAAUUAGAAUUGCUAUCAAAUGCAGAAAAACCAUAACUCAAACAACAAGGCCUUUACAGAAUUCAUGGGACCAUGCCCUAACGAAUAUCCCAACCAAUGUAGCCCGAGUAACUGCAACAAGAAGUAAUAAUUGACAUCUACCUCAUCAAGAGUAUGAAUAAAAUGACACUUCAUAUAUCAGAAUCACUAUCAAAGGCUUUACAAACCCCCUCUAUACAAGUCAUCUCUUUCGAACAACGAUAAUCCUGGUCUUUAAUUCCGAUCACUGAUUAACAACCGGGCCAAAGGUAUAUGGAGCCAACAGGCAAUAUUUAGAAGUGUUGAGUGAAAAUAGAACUAAGUUGGAAAGAGCCCCUUGAAUUAAAGAUCAUACCCUCCAAAUGUCAUCAACACAUCGUGCGAGACCUGACUGACACAAAAACCAGCUGACAGGAAAGGAUCACCAAAACAAUGACAGCAUUCCGCCAACCAAAUCUACCAAAAGUUUUUUUCCCUAAAAAAUAAAAAAGCUAGACCACCAUUCAACACAACACACAACUAAUGCAACCAUCUGAAAAACUGCAACAGCAAUAGAAAUGACAAUUAGCAUCUACCACGACAAGUGAAAACUAUGCAGAAAAAAAGAUAUCGAGAAAGCAAGAAUCAGCAAAUGGUGAUAGAGACCACCGAGGCCAAUUAGCAUCCCCUUGAGCCAAAUUAAAAAGAACAUUUCAGGACCCCCUUGAGCAAGAACUUUAUCCAAUAAAAACUUCAUCAAAGCUGCAACAACAACAAGGUGUUGAUCAACAUUUAUCCAUGGUAGAACAUCCAUGAGAGAAAGGAAGGUUAGUCAAUGCAAACCUAAUUCAUUA